ACCCCUUCCGAGGGACUCUCCAGUAUCACGGGUAACAGUGAAGGACCCACCAGCCUGAGACUCCCAAACAUACUGCUCAUCAUCGUUGUGCUUGGUGGUCACGACGACUCUAUCAGCAACAAGGUAAGCAGAGUAGAAGCCAACACCAAACUGACCAAUCAUGGACACAUCAGCACCAGCAGCCAAUGCCUCCAUGAACUCCUUGGUCCCGGACCUUGCAAUCGUACCAAGGUUGUUCACCAGAUCUGACUUGGUCAUACCAAUACCACUAUCAAUAAGCGUGAGCGUGUUUGUGGCCUUGUCAGGGACAAUGUGGAUGAACAGCUCUGGCUGAGCAUCAAGCUUGCUCUUGUCAGUCAGGCUCUCGAACCUGAUCUUAUCCAAUGCCUGCAGAACAGAGCAUCCAAUUUAGUGAAAAUUUCACAAACGGCAUCCAAUCAACAAUGUAAAACAACUAGGAUAUUAACCGGAGACUGAUGCUUUACAAAAACUAAGAAAACAAUGCUUGUUUAGAAUGAGCAUACAGCCUAUUUUCGCAAUUUUGCUCAAACUAGGCUACUUGGGAUUCCAAUGUUGUGGGAGUAGUGAAUUUAACUGAACAAAAUCAAGAGUAAUUCUAUCUACAUGCAAAUCUACCUUAGAGAUUUGAAGGUGGGAGACCAAUGAUUCUAAGAAAUUAAUAAAUCUUAAUAAUCAGCACAAACGCAAUCUAGUCGUCUUAAUAUUUAAGCUUAUAUGAUUGAAGGAUUUAAAGCAUAGCACAUACGCUCGAUUGAGCUUUCAACAGAGAGUAAUUGUUUUGAACGCUAGUUUAAUGGGCAAAUCAGCUCACUAACCACGGGAGUUUCAUAUUUGACAUACCACGGAGUCCAGAGAUCAAAAUAAUUUAAUGAUACGCCUUAUGCACAGAACGGUACACAUAUCGCAGAUUCACAGUAUGAUUGAAAAUCACACCGAUCUAUUUUUUAUGCAUCAUAACGUCCACAGAUCUAGAGCGGCAAGGGCAAACAAAAACAAAGGUACAGGGGCCGCGGGGUAGGGAGCUUACAUCGGAGGAGUUGGAGAUGAGCUCGCGGAGGAAGAUCUCCUUGUUGGAGUAGAAGGUGUUGAUGAUGAGCGAGAGCAACUGGUUGAUCUCCGCCUGGAAGGCAAAGGUCUCCGUCUCCGAGGCCAUGGCGCCGGAACCCGAGGGGAAGAAGACGGCGGCUAGGGUUUUUGAGCGGGUACCAGGGUUGCUGUAAGGCUAGGUCAGAGAGGGGAUGCGUGGGGGAGCGGAUUUAUAGUGAGGGGAGGGGUUCUGGAACGUUCUAUGCCACGCGAUGCAAUGGGGAGACGACGCGCGAGGUCAGGGUCAAGUUGACUAGUCGUUGGGCCCGAGUUCCUGUGGCCCACAUGUCAGUUAGAUAGUCUAAGUUGCUCUCCAGAAGCUUCUACGUUUUGUCUAUGAAUGAGUCAACGAUGAAAUGGGAAUGAAUUCAUUUCUUAUGCACAAUUUUCACAAUUUAGCAAACCAACGUGAUUUAAAUCUCUCUCAUGUAACAUACUACGAGACAAUUCAUUGAGAAUGUUGUUUAAGUUCAAAAUUGCGCUAAAUCAAUGCCAAUAAUUUAGGAUCGGAGGGAGUACUACCGUUGUUCAAACUAUAAGAUUUUAUAAUUUUGUCUUAAAUCAAACUUCUUCAAAUUUAUAUAAAACUACCGAUGUCUACAACUCUAAGUUAAUGUUAUUAAAUUCCCUAUAAAUCUUUAUAUACUUAUUUGAUAUUUUAGAUAUUGGUGUAUUUUUAUAGCGUUGGUCAAAUUUUAACGAGCGAAUUCAAAUUUUGCCCCAUGUUUGGUAAUUGUCAAAUGUUUACCCCGUUAUUUAAUUUUGUGCUAUAUUUUUAUCCUCUAUUUGUAAAUAUGAGUCCGUUUUUACCCAUCUAACCAAUUUGCCUGGUUUUUGACAUGUUGUACCACCUGUUGCUGUUGGGGUGACAUGGCUAGUCAAUGCCUAACAUGUUGAAAGCCUACUUUGGUAUGGCACUUUCUCCCUCUCCUUAACCGCCCCGGUUACCAACACCAACUCAUUUUCUCCAUGUUUUUUUUCUUAUAGUUAGGUCAUAGUUUUUGAGAAUUUCAAAUCUUCUACUCCCUCCGUACAACAAAAGAUGUCUCAAGUUUAUCAAAAUUUGGAUGUAUCUAGACAUGACUUAGGGAGCGUUUGGUUUCUUCGCUCAGUUGGCCCGUUGCUGAGCUAGCUCACCUAUCAUGGCUGGGCAUUGCUAGUUUUCCUGUGUCUUGCCAUUUGGUUGUUUGCUUUUGAGUUGACCAGAUUGUGGUUUCCGUGAGGAUCAGGCAGUUUUUCUUCUUGGGACCGCUUCUUGUCGUCGGAGGCGAGCCGAUCUGGCUCUCCCUUGCGGGCAAGGAAUUUCUGGCCCGUUUGAGCUAGCUUGCCUCCAAAAGUCAGGAUAAAUUGACAGAUCCAAACGUUGGGCCUUGCUGGGCUAGGCUAAUUGAGCUUUUGCCUGGGAACCAAACGAACCCUUAGUGUAUAGAUGCAUUCAAAUUUAGUCAAAGUUGAGACAUCUUUUGUUGGACGGAGGAAGUAUGAGUUUUUUUUGUCAAAUGUAAAAAAAUCAAAAUGUUGUUUCUCAAAAAGUUCAGAAAUUGUUGUAAAAUUUAAUGGAAAAAACUUUUUUUUGUGACCUAGCUAAAAUACAAGUCCAUUGCUUUAGGUUUUAGCACAUUUAGAGCACUGCAAUUCAUUAUCAUGUCCAUGGUACAAAACGCUUUUUUAUUUUAAUACAUUGAGGAUAGAACAGGCUCGUGUUGAAUACACGAUCAUUUACAUUUGUAACUUAAAAAAAAAUCUUUGAACUAUUGUAUAAUCUUUGAUGUUCAUCUCUCGAGCACAUGCUCCCGUUAGCUUUUGUGCCUCUCUGUCAUAUCUUGUUCUGUUUUUUUGUUCAUGUUCGAAGAUUUGAAGCAUCCUCCAAUUUAGAAAAAAAAAACGUGCAAAGAAGUUUCUGGAAGAAGGGGAGGCUCAGAGGACGCGGAGCAUCUCGUCAGCGAAAACUCCCAACGACCCGGAUGCGUACUCCAGAUGCGUUCAAUUCAAUCCAGUGGUCCAUUUCCAAGCUCCAACCAGGCCCAUGGAAACAAGACACGGGCAACUACAGCUGGUAAGGGUAAACGAAAACCAGCAAGAAAUUUCGACUUCGAGCGGUACUUAUCUCUGAACGUGCAUGCAGCAGACGGAGAUACAGUCAAACAAAAGAGGAAAAGGGCAAAAGAAUGAUACCUUGCUUCGCAGGGUAGUAGAAUCCGGGACCAGAUUGGUUGUACAUCCAACUCCAACUGUAAAGACUAGAAGAAGACACAAUUACAAGAGCUUCUUUGCAGAGAACUCUUUGAUAAGGGAGGUAUCGUUCCGUUUCAAAAAAAAAAAAAGACAAGGGAGGUAUCGUUUGUGGGACUCCCUUGAAAUAAAGCUUUCAGCAACAACAACAACAACAAAAAAAACUCCCUUGAAAUAAAGCUUUCAACAAAAGAAGAACUCUUCAGUCAAUCUCAGGAGUUUACAGGUCUCCAGGCCUAACAACUCAUUAGAUCAUGCUUUGCAUUCAGAGGGAGUCGGACCAGAAGGGAAUACUCAAGCUUAGGUAAGACUGAGGUACAAUGAGUGUCAGAUAAAAAGAAAGACUGAGGUACGAUGGACUGGAGACUCACAGGAUCGCGAUCUACAUCAUCGCUCAGAGCGAAUCGCUCUGGCCAUUACUAGGACCACUGGACCAACGAUCCUUUUUUGAGUUGUACAAAGUGGAGCAAGGCAGUGUAUGUCUGUCCAAAGUGGCGACACAGAAGGGUGUUGUAAGGAACAUUACAAGACUGUGAUUCCAAUGCAAAGAUGGAUUUUUGGUUGAAUACUGUAGUGAAAACUUAUAUGAUCCAAAGAAACUACGGAAAUUCGUGCGUGUCAGAAACGUUUGAUGCGCCUGCAUCCAGGAAUACCGGCACACCUUCUCUGGAUUUCUCUUGAGUUUUGGUUUGAUUUUGCUUGCGCUCGAAAUAGUUGGCGUGGCUGAUGAGCGGCAUGCACGAGUCGAGAGCACAGCAUUCUGGUUGCCCUGUUGGUGAAGCGAGGUGUGUGUUCUGCACAAGUGCGGCAUCAGUACCAGGAAAUUCCCGGAAAAACACUACUACACGAUGCCAUCGAGCUGCCUUCUGUUUUUCCAGCCGCAGUGUUCUUGACUCGAACAGAUUGCAGCUUCCUUCCUUCCAGAACGAUCUUAAUUCAUGUAAAAGUGGAUUGUUUCGAAUGGAGGCGUCCAAGUCGUCGGCUUGGUCGUCGAUUUUCGUUCUGCAGAUACUUCCUCUUGUUUCGAUCAGACAGAAACUCAACUUGGCGGAUCAUCGAGAACAACACCAAUCACGUGUAUGCACUGCUGUUCAAUCAGUACUCCGUACAAGAUUUGUUCGUUAACGCAACACGCUGGCGGAUCGAUGCCUGCCGACACCUAUCAAAUCACGCGUGCACUGCAGUGUUAUUCAAGCACAUGAUUUGUUUGUUAGGUGUGCACGUCAAAUUGAAGGCCCCCCAUGCAUGCAUCCUGGAUCACACGCGCAAUAGUACUACACGAUUGCCUUUCCCCCCUUUGUCUUAUAGCAAAAUCCCACAGAUGCAUAACGUGUUCAUUCCUCUUCCAUUAAUUUUCAGAAGAUUUUUCCUUGCCAGGGCCGGCCAUGAGAUAUCUACAUACUGUAUAUAGGUUCCGUCCAGGCUGCAGAGAAGCAAAGUCAUCAGAGAGGUACUGGAUCACCGGACCAAGCUAAUAAUAGUUGCUUAGCCAUGGUCACGAAGAUUUUUCUUGGUAUUUCCCUUUUCGUGAUAUCCAUCCAACUGGUCGCCGGCGACGACGACGGCAGGCUGAGCAAGGUCGUGCGGCAGGUGCCGGCGAUGUACGUGUUCGGGGAUUCGACGCUGGACGUCGGCAACAACAACUACUUGCCGGGUAACGAUGUCCCCAGGGCCAACAUGCCACCGUACGGCGUGGAUUUCAGAGGCUCCAAGCCCACCGGACGGUUCAGCAAUGGCUACAACAUCGCCGACUCUAUCGGUGCGUACAUAUAUAUACAUGUGUAUAACUGUACAUAUGUAUCCUGUAUUUAUAUGCGCACGUACGCAUGAGGCGUGAGAGACUUAUAUAUUACAGCAUACUGUACAUAUUUUUGCAGCGAGGACGCUGGGACUGAAGGAGAGCCCUCCGGCUUAUCUGUCGCUCGCGCCACGAAGCAGCAUCCGUCUGGUCCUCGCCGCGCUCAGCGAAGGCGUCAGCUACGCGUCGGCUGGAUCCGGCAUACUGGACUCCACUGUAAUCAAGCGAGCUUAAUUGCUUCUCAGCCUAUAAGCACUGUUGUCAAUGUUAAUCACGAUGGUUGAUGCAUCUAUGUCACCAUGUGCAGAACGCUGGGAACAACAUCCCGCUGUCGAAGCAGGUGAGCCACUUGGCUUCCACGAAGCGCAAGAUGGAGGCCACGGUGGGCGCCCGCGCCGUGCGCCGCCUGCUGUCCGGCUCCUUCUUCCUCCUCGGCACCGGCAGCAACGACGUAUCCGUCUUCGCCGCGACCCAGCCGGCGGCCGGUGACGUGGCCGCGUUCUACGCCAGCCUCGUCUCCAACUACUCGGCCGCCAUUACCGUAAGCAUCCAUCCAUCCACGCAGACUCGUACAAUACCAGAUGCAUUCUUAGACUAUUUACGUAUAUACAUACAGGAUUUAUACGAGAUGGGGGCGAGGAAGUUCGCGGUGAUAAACGUGGGCCUGGUGGGCUGCGUGCCAAUGGCGCGGGCGCUGAGCCCAACGGGCUCGUGCAUCGGCGGGCUGAACGACCUCGCCUCGGGCUUCGACGCCGCGCUGGGCCGGCUCCUCGCGAGCCUGGCCGCCGGGCUGCCGGGCCUGUCGUACUCCCUCGCCGACUACCACGGCCUGUCGACGGAGACCUUCGCGAACCCGCAGGCGUCCGGGUACGUGAGCGUCGACAGCGCCUGCUGCGGGAGCGGAAGGCUGGGGGCGGAGAGCGACUGCCUGCCGAAUUCCACGCUGUGCGGCGACCAUGAUAGGUUUGUGUUCUGGGACCGCGGCCACCCUUCCCAGCGGGCCGGCCAGCUCAGUGCCGAAGCUUUCUAUGACGGCCCGGCCCAGUUCACGGCUCCUGUCAGCUUCAGGCAGCUGGCUGACAUGGAUGCUAGCUAUUAGUAGAGGAUUAUUAUUGGUUUUGCAUGUAGUUAUGCUGAGCUACCUUCGAAUAAAAUAUGGUACUUCCCCCCUCUCAUAAUUCUGGUCGAAAUAUUACAUGUAUUUAGUUAUUUUUUAAAAUAAAUAUAUUUAUUUUUGGAUAAAUUUGAGACCGGAAUUAUGAAACGGAGGGAGUACCAAGGAUUGGAUCUUCGAUCUUCCAUGCACUCCCGUCGUAAGAACUUGAGUGAGGAUCCAUCAUGCAUUCUGGCUAAGGAUGUAAUUAAUUAUGAUUUCAAAUUUUCAACAAAUGCAACAACAAGAAUGGUCAUGGACUAUAAAUUAGAGACCAUUUGAAAUCCAUUUUACGCUCAGUUGCCACAAAGGGAUGAUAAAGUAGACCGUAAUCGUGUAGACCAAAUAACCGACCGAGUAAUAUAAUAAGUUCAAACCGACCGAGUACUUAUUUAUUUUUGAAGUUAAACUGUAAGGGUUGCGCGAUUGCAGUCCGACAGUAUAUAGAUAUAUAUAAUUCUACAAAAUGAGACACCAAAGUACGACCUUCGAAGAUCGAACUCUGGUGGGCUGUCAGCAUACCUGGCUAGCUGACCACCUAAACUAUGCUUGGUUCUCGACCUAGUACUUAUUGGAUUACUCGGUGGGUUAAGUGAACUUAUUGGAUUACUCGGUCGGUCAUGUGGUCUACUCGACUACAGCCUAAUUUAAAACUUCCCGCACACCUUGUUUAUGAACCUUGUGCUAGCUGUGGCAUGGCAGUAACUGCAGCUCUGCACGGACCGGAAUCAACUGAAGCUGCAGUUGGUGUAUUGGUCGGACUCGGAGUCAAAUUGAUCCCCGCGUGAUGCAUGGCGCCCGGGGUACAAAUAUGCCGUUGCCAUGCCUGCCCUCGAUCGAAAUCAAAACCGAAAUCGAAGGCUCUCGAACCGGCCCCCGGCCGGCGCUUCGACGUCACCGUUCGGCGGCGAGGCCAUGCCCAUACCCCAACGGCUGGCUGUCGUCGUCAAAACGCCGCCUCCACGGCCGGAACGGCAGCAGCGAGCACCGUGGUCCGACCGCGGCCCUGCCGGCCGACGUCCUCUCGCUGAUCCUGGCGCGCGCGUCGUCGGGCGCCGCUGACGUGGCGGACACGCACGCCGCGCUCAUCUGCCGCCGCCCUCUCGAUACCACACCCGCCUUGCCCUCGGUUUCUUCCACCAGCAACACGAACGCGUCCGCGCCGUCUUCCCCAGCCGCCGGACGACGACCGCGCAGCCCCGCUUUGUGCCCACAGCGUCCGCCUCGCGCCUCCUCCUGGGCCCGGGCUCUCAUCAUCUCGAUCCAGGUCCAGGCCCACCAGGCCUGUUCGACUACGCCCGCCCGGUCGCGUCCCGGAACGGGCGCGUCGUGCUGGCGCUGCGGCGACGGGCUGACGCUCAGCGUGUUGAACCCCAUGACCGGGGACGUGUCCGUGCUCCCCGCGCUCUCGGGCGACGACUGCCCGGGGCAGUGCUACGUGUGCGCCCUGCUCACGAGCGACGACCUCGCCGAUCGAACCACCGGCGCCCGCGGGCUUCUUCUUCCGGGUGCUCCUCGUCUACAACGGCCGGCGCCGCAGCGGCUUCACGGCGCUGCUGGCCUUCUCGUCGGACACCGGCAUGUGGGGCCCGGAAGGCCGGAAGCCGGGGCCCAAGAUGAAUGCCGCCAGGCUGCGCCGGGUAGGCCCCGCGCGCCGUGGCCGUCCGCGGAGUCGUCCAGUAGCGCCACCAUGGACGUGAGCUUCGUGCCCUACAGCACCUCCAGCCUGUACUAUUUCCCGGACUACCGCGUGCUGGGCGUGUCACCGGAUGGGAGCCUCAGCUUCGUCUACGCGACUCUCAAUGGACUCAGCAUCUUUGUCGAGACCCUAGAGCCGCAGGCGGGUCAGUGGGAGACGCGCGAAUGGAUCAAACUGCCCCAGGUCCAGGUGAGCCAUGCGACGACCGCGGUUAAGCUGCGGUGGUUCAACGAGAAGAGCGGCACCGUGCUCUUCACCUUGAGACAGCAAGACGGAGACGACGCCACCAGCGGCGCCUUCCUGUUGAAUAUCGCCACGAGGUCGCUGGAGAAGCUUGCCGGCGGCGUCGAAUGCCAUGGGUGGAGGAACGUUUGCGGAUAUGAGAUGGACCGUGUGGCGCUCAUUGCGUCCACUGCCCGCUUCUGAUCUUCGUACGACACGUACGUACUUUUGGUUCUAGCCAUCGAGAAGAAAACAAGACAUGGAUGUUCAGCAAUUAGUGCUGUUUAACAUAGCUAUAAAGAAUAUGUCAAAUUAUUUUAUUUUGAUAGAAUCUAUCCGAUAAUUACAUAUAAGCUCAUUGACAUAAACUUGAGAGGAGCUGAUCCCAAACGUCACCUCUCGGACCCCAAAAUGUCGCUUGAGAAAACAGCUUAGUUUACAACAACCAUCCACGAAUUCGGAAGCACAAAGGUAGUUUUUUUGAGAGUUCUCCCAAAGGAGGCCCGAGGGGCAAUACACUUGCCGGAGCAAAAUAACCUUCUAGGUAGAAGCUAAGGGAUGCAGCAUAGGUCAUGAUGUAACCACCGAACUGGGGAACACGAUCAACAGAAGGAGGACUGUCAUGGGCAGCCAGAACGCCACAAGACAGCACCAGAGUGCAGUGAGGAUCAAACCAGAUAGCUCAAACAAAACAUGAAAACUACUGGCAAGAGAAACCACAAGCAUCAUCAUUAAGAAGACGCACCAAUGUCAUCUCAUGACAAAAGAUGACGCUGGCUCAUUAAGCAUGAAGAGAUUGCACAAAGUCUUCACCGGAGGGUGGGUUGUCCGAGAGAAGGAAAAGUAGUAAUAUGGUGGUGACAUGCUCUCGAAGAGUGCCACUAGUGUAAAAAUGUCUCCCCAAAGGGGGGGUGAGUUACCCAAUUGAGGAGUGUAAAAGGAGGGCAUAUACGACGACAUAUGAUGACAACAAGGGCAAUCCUGACAGAAGUUUCGAGAUUUGGAGAAGCUAAAUGGAGUUGGAUGAAAUGGGGUGGCGGAUGGAUAUCAGAUCGACCAAAGUUAGCACAACGCACUCUAUCACGGCAUCUCCGGCAGGAGGAAGCCGUCUCCAUGGCAGCCAUCUGCGAAACCAUGGAUCUUGGAAGCACAGCAAUCAAGUUGGUAUAGAGACCUCCAAGUAUAAGCCACGACACCAGGCGUUAAACUAUUGGUGCCGCCACCACAGCUGCCACCUGCAAACCAUGGUUACCGAGGGCAUGGCAGUGCCACAGGCAACGGAGGGAGGGACGAGGAGCAGCAUCACUCUAAUCAAGGUGAACAUCCGGAAAAAUUUGCAAUCUGAGGUGGCAGCGGGUUGGUGGAGUGGGGAGCAAUGAAUGAAGGGGGCGAUACCAGCACUGAAGAUGGCCGAUGAGGAGGCGAAAAUCGGAGUUGGAGGAGCCGUGGAGGGCAGCUUCGGAUCCUGGGACGCGGGCGGAGGCGACGGGCCAGGACUAGGCCGAGCGGCCCGCGGGAGGCGAGACCUGGGCCGGUGUGGAGCCCCAGACGGCGAUGUCAGCGGGCGCUCGGCCGAGCAGACGCCUGAUCUUGCCGUCAGACAAGCCAUCUCGGGAGGGGAGGAGGUGGGUACCGUCGACAGCGAGGUGGGCAGGAGCGGCAGGAGGGAGCAGCGAGUCAGCAGUCCGCCGGAUCUGGCCCGCGCCCGCCGGAUCUACCUUUAUCACGGCGACGACGAGCAUAGGCUACGAGGGAGCUAGGCUAGUCGGAGGCGCGCGGACGUGGCCUUGGCUGAGGACGAUGGCGAGACGACGAUGAGGGGCGGUGCGAACGUGAACCUGCGGCGCAACGCUCUGGAUCAGGAAAGCACCACACAGAGCAGGCCCUUGCACGGGAGAUGGGGUCGAUGGCGAGGCGAGGGGUGGUGAUGGGCGGCGCAGAUGAGGACCCGCGGCGCAGCAUUCCGGAUCUGGACGGGCACGCUGCUCGCCGAAUCCGGCCACCGCAGGCAGGGGGACGAGGCCCGGAAAGCACCUAGGGCCGCAGCCUCGCAGAGCAGGGCGCUCGCAUGGGACAAGCGGCAGCAGCAGCCCCGCCGCCACCAUCCUCGUCCGCUGCGCGAUUUCCGGCGACCAACUCUGAUGGCGACGAGGGGAAGCAGGUGGAGGGAGGCGGCGCUCGGAGGGAAACCUAGUCGCCCCCGAGUCGCUCUCGGGAGGACGACGCGAGGGACGCGUUUUUCCACAAAGGUAUUUAUAUGAGUUGCAUCUGACUAACUGCUUGACAUUAAUAGUUUAUCACAACACAAAUACAUACAAACAGCAAGAACCUUCUUAAAGACUUUCCAGAUCGGAUGAAAUGCGGAUCACUUACUAAUCAAAUACACAGCUGAACUAUCAUGAUGUACUAUAUGCCAAAUAAUCCUAUGCGAUUUGGAAUGAAGAAGAUUGCCGUGAUGAUCAACAAUAUUAACAACAUGAGGUUCAAUACACGAGUAAUUUACAAAAAUCACUGCACAGUAGCUACCAUCAGUCAGUGGCGGAGCCAGGAUUUUGUCAAGACCAGGACAGUUGCUCCCAAUCGCUAGAAUUAGCAAGUAAGACCCAGACCAAAUCGUGAAAUCAUCAAAAUUACCAAAGGAAAAAGCUUCUACGCCCUGGGCCGCGGUCUCCGCCCCUGCCGUCAGGAGCAUUUCUUGAAAACGGGAAACUUGCUUUAAGACAUGAACAAUAAAUUUAAGCACAAAUAAAAAGCAUGAAGACACAAUUAUCGAAUUGUGAUGUAAAGCUUUGUUUUCUUUUUCUAUAAACCAUUUUAUAUUGAUUUGAAGACAGGUUGUGUUCACAGGAAAUCACAAUGCCGGCACCUUGAUUGGAUGAAAACUUUGUUUCUUUUCUUCUAUAGACCAUUUUAUAUUGAUCCGAGGACAGUGUAAAGCUUUGUUUUCUUUUCUAUAAACCAUUUUAUAUUUAUUUGAGGACUGUGUAAAAGGACUCGAUACAGAAACAUCGGACCCGAGGUUUAGGCAUGGAGGUAACAUUGAACAUAGUACAUACAUUAGUAUUUUAACAGGGUUGUACAACAUCAAUUGGCUUAAAACGAACAGGGCGUAUAGGAGCUUGGCCGCUUGGAAUGGUGGACUCCGGAUAAAGUGGGUUCAGUUGCAGUAUUGAACAGGUUUCAGAGAAUACAACGAAGUUCAUGAAAAGGUUGAAGUGCUUCGGGAGCAAUUCCGCAACAAAAUUGGUCAAAUUAAGGUAGUAACAGCAGGUGAUGCGACUUCUCACUUCACUUCUCAGUUCAAUAAAGCUCCCUUUAUCGGAAAAAAAAACAAAAAUUAACAGAAAGAUACUAAGAUAUCUAUACCAAUAUAUUAAAUUGGAGUAUGUGGUGAUGGUACGAGUGUCGCGGUGCAUCACUUCACCAAAAUUACGAAUCUGCCAUCGCUGUCCCACGUGUCUUUUAAUCCCGGCUCCCGCAGUCCUCAAGCGCAGAAAAAACACGUACCACAAAAAAAAAUACAAACUAACAGAGCCCUCAUCGCGCCUCCUCCUCCUCUCCUACGAAUCUCACCCCCACCCCCUGCCCGAUCCGGAUCUCGCCGCCGCUCUUGGUUGCCUCCACCGGCUCGUGCGUGUCGGCGGCGUUCGUGUGCGGAAGGCGGCUCCGUCACGUGCUCCAACCGCCGCCUCCACCGGCUCUUGCGCGCCGGUGGCUCCCCGCGGGACUUGGACGGCGAUGAGACGAGCCUGAGGCCGGGAUGGCGGUCGCUUCGCACAAGGCAGCAAGGACUGCGUCGGCGCGAGCCAUCGGUGGCCCUCUGCACGGGCAGUGGCACGCGGCAACUAGUGGCCGGACGCGAUGUGUGGCGGCGCGCGGGCGCGGCGAACGGGCGGACAAGGCUGCGAGAGGGCGCAGGCGGACGGCGCACAGGCGGCAAGUGGGAGCAAACGGCGCAUGGGAGUGGACGGGCAGCGGGAAUCUACGGGUGGAGGCGGGGCGCACAAGCGGACGGCCGUGCAUGGCGACGUGAUGUUCGGUGGCAGGAUGAAUCGGGACGGGGAGAGGAGGAGUUUGCACUCAGUGUGAAUGGAGAGGAUAGUCAGAGAGAGCGAGAAAUUGAGAGAAGAUAUUUGAGAAAUAAAAUACGGAGUAGAAGUAAUAGUAGAGCACAAGGAGAAAUGUAGAAGACAUGUGGAAAAAAAAAAGAAACUAGUGUAUAGCCCACGAAAAUAAAUAUAUCAUAAGCGAUAUAUACAUAUGUACUCAAUUUUCCGUUGUUCCGGACCAACGUACGGUUCUUUUGCUAGUACUACGUAUACAGGAGAUGAUUACCAUACGCAGUUCGAAACUCAUAGACCCCCACCACCAUAUGACACCCUUAACCCCAUCUACUUUCUGCACAUGACAUCUAUGAACUGACCCCAUCUACUUUCUGCACAUAAAAACAAGUGAAGGGGAAACCUGGUAGAAUCAGGCGCUGACCCUUUAUAAUAGCGCCAUUCAAUAAGAUAAACUGAGCUUUGGUUGGAGAAUAAAAUCUGCACAUGACAUCUAUGAACUGUAAGAUAUAAUCAGAAAAUGCUCUCUAACAUAAAACAAAGCAAUAUUGGUUUACAGUAAAACUAUAUCUCUUGACUGAGGAUUCACACUUGACUUCCACAUAUUGUGGGAAAUAGGAAUGAGCCCAGCAAAACAUUCCCGAAACUAAGUCACCUUUAGAUGCCUAUGAUAUAAGUUAUAACACUAAAAAAUGUAUAAGGAAAUAAGGAACCACUCAGAUUUCAGCCUUGAAAGUAAUUACCAUCAUUCAGGCAAGCAAGAAGGCGUCAACAAAAAUAAUACCUGAGCAAUAACCCAGGCAAAGAUCAGAAGCUUUUCCUGUAAAAGAUAUUUACUGUUUCCCACUAUUUGGGCGGUAAGGUGUAUUACGGAGUAGCACCUUUGGCUUCCUUCUUAAAGUCAAGGCAAGCACAACGAAGAUUGCAACCUGACAAAAGCAAUGUUCAGUCACAAACUGACAGUCAAACAUCAACACCAACAAGAAACUGACGUCAUGCAUUAUUGUAAUUACAUGCUCAAUAAUCAAGAGUUAGAGACUUUUAAUGGUCAAAAUACAAGAGUAAAAUCUAUUUUGAACCUUGUCUUUGUAGAGGUUGGCUAAAUCAAACCCUGAACGUGCAAAUCCCCGAAGUUGCCACCCUCACCUCCCUAAUCCCGGUCUAAAAUUGCUUUAAAUGCGUUUAGAAGCCGGGAUCGCUGACGUGGCAGAGCCAAACCCGGGAAUCUUGACUUCUGUUGAGCUCAGUUUCCUCUCAAGUUGUGUCCAUUCAUCUCAAUUUGGUUGCGACUCGUAGCAAAUUCUCCUCUUCUCUGUCUCAUGGUUGUUAACUGUUCAUUCUGAACAACACGGUUGUUGUGGAUAUAUGGAGUGGCAUGAUGGCCCGAUGAUGCCGUUUCUUCGGCAAUUGCUACUCGAUCUAUGCAAUACAAUACAGUAUGGGCUUGUGAUGUUCAAGUUAAUGUGGAGCCAAUUGAAGCACAAAGAGCAAGAAAUGUGGCUGUUGCUGCACUAAGACAGGAGCUUGUUGAGAAGAAUGCAGAGAUUGAAGCUAUUAGGGCUAGAAAUGAGACAGGGGACAGGAAGAUGUAUGAACUUGUUGUGUAUGCAGUCCUGUUUUUUCUUGCUGGUUUAGUGGCAGGAAUUCAGCAUUGAGUUGUAUUGGUGUAUGGAAUUUCUGGAAGAAUGGCAGGAAUUAAUCAGUCAUCUGUAUGUGCCUUUGCUGUGAAAGAACGGCAGAUUCCAUGUGAAUUUUGACAGCACAUACUUGUGUAUUUCCUAUGUAUUUUUACAACACUUUUCUGUAUAUUUUGACAGCAGAAACUGAACUGAAUAAUGCAAAGAAAAGAUCACAGUUUUCUGAACAUUAUGACAGCACAUGUUGACAGGAAGAAAAAACAGACCCGAUCAAUCCAGCGUUCAAUCAUUCCAAAGAGACCACAUGUUGACCGGAAGCACAAACUGGGACUGAAAAUAAGCUGCUGGCGCCACUUUAUGGACCCCUGUUUGGAAAACCCGUUUUAGCAUCUUUAGACCGGGAUUUGGAAGUUUAGGGUGCCAACUUUAGGGAUUUGCAAGUCAGGAUUCCAUCUACAUUUCUACAAAGACAAGGUUUAAAAUAGAAUUUACUCGAUUACCAAUCUAUAUUUUAUCAUAUCCAAGAUCUCUAUGCAAUGCAGAAUGUCAGCAAAUAAAAUAUACAAUUUGCAGAACCUACCUAUUAAAUGAAUGAUGGUUGUUCGAGAACCAGGUCUUUCUACCUGAAUCAGCACUUCAUUGCAACCAAAAUGGUGCUAGAAUCGGUUGACAAGGGUCCAGUAUUGAAACAUAACAUUUGCGAUUAAAAUAUAGUUUGUGUUUUCCUUCAUGAACCUACGAUACAUAUGAUGAACAGGUGAUAGGUAAAGUCAUCAUGGAUUGAAUGCUACCUGGGCUUUGGAGUUCGUUGGACAACCUUCUCCGAAUUUUCCGGUCCCACUGCUUAACCUGACAACUCAGAAAUGAUUUUAUCCAUACACCACAAAACGAAUUCCCCCAGGGCAUUGGGAAAUCUCUGAUUGAUCCAAUCACUCGCCAUCUUGCAAACUGGCUCAGGAAUAUAGCACAAUGGUAUCUGCUCAAUACAUCAUACAACAACCAAUUAGGCGCAUCGCAAAAACAAUUCAAGUAUAAAGCAAGGUAAUUCUCAUUCUUAAAUAUCCUGAUGUAAGGUAAAUGUCAAUCACAAUGGUGAUGCAGAAACACAUGCAAUCUCUGCUAGUCAUUGAAGCAUGCAGGUGAAAGAGCAAUAACUAAAGAUGAGCUUGCAGAUUAUUCAACAAGUGAAGAUGAUCAAGCAUUCAAGCCCAAGAUCAAAAGGCGAGUGAAGGUGAAGCUGGAGGAGGAGGCGAUGGUGGUUUUGAAGUGGAUGAUGGCCUUGGUUUAAGCGACUGAUAAUAUAAUAGUAUGGUGCUGCAGACUGACAUAUAGGUGUUGGGCUGGUGUGCCUUCUUUUGGACAUACAAAUCUAGGCUGCCUCAGAUGAUCAUAAAAUAACUUCAUUUUUCAUAUAGCCAUACACAACUCUGCAUUUGUUACUUAAAGACGACGAACUGAAAAGAUUGUAUGACAGCACGUCCUACACAGUACUUUUCUAAGACAAGUAAGCUUCCUCAAAGUAGCGUUGAAACAAGUCGUUCCGCAAAUAAAAACAACUCAUUAUGCAAAUAAAAGAUUCUGCACAACGAAUACAAAUGAGGUGAACGGGUAGGCCCAUACCUGGAAUUCAAGGCUUACAUUCAACAAUAGUGGACACAAGAGCCUGUUUACCAAUAAGAUGAACAAUUUAUUUUUCGGUAGCAUCAUCACCAACUAAUAUGAUUUGCUCAGCACCAAAGCCAUGCAGGUUACCAUGUUUACAUUUGUUUUCUCCAAAAAUAUUCACAGUUGCAUUUUUGUCAUUACCCGUUUCCAGGACUCCAGCAGCACAGGAAGUUCUCCAUAUACCGGACCAGUCUCUGGAUUAGCUUGUCAACACACUUGAUGGGAAAAAGCACAAGAGGUAAAUGAUACUUUGGGCCAUACAAAGAAUUCCACAAUGCAUGCGAAAAUUUUGGAACAUAUCGGAGAGAUGGCGUAGCUUGUUUUCCAUGUUUAUUUCCUUGCAUGCAUGCUUAAAGUGAUCGAAUAUCUUCAAAUCCCCCUUGCUAUAGUAUGCUCAGUGUCACCGGCAAAAUGGAAGCCCUCCUCAAAAUUUCUACGGACAUACUUAACAAGUGCUAUUUGUGUCAUGGUCAGAUCCUGUACCUCAUCUACGUAAACAAAAUCCACCAUAUCGCCAUUGUGUAGCCCUCAGAAACUAGACUUCCAUGAAGACAAUUCACAAAAUAUUGUCUGCAUGAUAUGCUGGUUACAAAUAAUGCCCGAAAAGAGAUUCUUUGGUUAUUGGGGUUAGACUAUCCUCAAUUGCUCCUAGGUGAUGCACACAAAAUAUUCGACAUACUCUAUCCAAAAGACCCAAACUGGACAUUUUAGUAGCAAAAUGCAUAAAUACCGAUUAACAUGACCAUCCAUACUCACCAAAGAAGACAUCUAAGGUUUCUUUCCCUGGAUACUAAAUAGAAUGCAUAGACAUUGUUCAGUUUCUUUUCAUAAUUAUUAUUAUACAAACUAAUGCAAGUCUUUAUACUCUACUGACCCGUAAAAUAUGUGAUAUAUAUAAUUAUUUCAUUUUCUUUUCUCUAGAAAUCUCUGAUCAGAAGAGAUUAAGUUAAGCCAAUGCUGAUCAAAGUACAGCAUGCAAGAAAAAAAAAACUACAGCAGGUGAAAUGGCAAAGUUAACAGGAUGAUACUAAGAUAUACUACAUAUAUAUAGGAGACGAUUACCAUACGCAGUUCGAAACUCAAGACCGCCACCAUAGUGACAAUAUGAUAUCCUUAUCCCCAUCUACUUCCUGUAGGCUAGCACAGUAACACAAAAAACCGAACCGACCACAGAACACAGCAAAUCCAAGGCAAGCUUCCUAACACUUGAUGAAAAAAAAAAUGAAUGCAGACACCUAGUCGACCUCCUCCAUCUUGCUCUCGCCAGCGUCAUCCUCCAGUGCUGGCAUGUCGGUGUCAUCAGCAUCGGCGGCCUCAUCCUCAUCGAUGCUCAGGCCAAGCUUGAGCAUACGGUGGAUCCUGGUGCCGAAGGUGUUGGGGUCGUCCAGGCUGAAGCCAGAGGUGAGCAGGGAGGUCUCGAACAGCAGCAUCACCAAGUCCUUGACAGACUUGUCAUUCUUGUCAUCAUCCGCCCGCUUGCGCAGCUCCUCCAUGAUGGCGUUCUCCGGGUUGAUCUCCAUUGUCUUCUUGCUUGACAUGUAGCCUCCCAUGCUCGAGUCCCUCAGAGCCUGGGCCUUCAUGAUCCGCUCCAUGUUGGCAGUCCAGCCAUACUCACCAGUGACAAGACAGCACGGCGAGUCAACGACGCGGUCAGAGACAAUGACCUUCUCCACCCUGUCACCGAGCACAUCCUUGAUCACCUUGCAGAGGCCCUCAAACUUCUCCUUGAGCUCCUCCUUCCUCUUCUUCUCAUCCUCACUGUCCUCAAGCUUCAGGCCUUCCUUGGUGGCAGACACAAGCUUCUUUCCCUCGAACUCCUUGAGCUGGCCAAUGGCGUACUCAUCAAUGGCAUCAACCAUGAACAGGACUUCAUAGCCCUUCUUCUUUAGCCUCUCCAAGAAGGGAGAAUUCUCCACAGCCUUCUUGCUCUCGCCGGUGAUGUAGUAGAUGUCGUUCUGGCCCUCCUUCAUCCUGGUCACGUAGUCCUUGAGGCUGGUCAGCUCAUCACCACUCUUGGUGGAGUGGUACCUCAGGAGCUCAGAAAGCUUGGUCCUGUUGGUGGAGUCCUCAUGGACGCCAAGCUUGAGGUUCUUGGAGAAUGCCUCAUAGAACUUGUUGUAGUCCUCCUUGUUCUCAGCAAUCUCAAAGAACAGCUCAAUGGACUUCUUAACAAGGUUCUUCCGGAUGACCUUGAGGAUCUUGUUCUGCUGGAGCGUCUCUCUAGAGAUGUUGAGGGGAAGGUCCUCAGAGUCAACAAUUCCCUUGACAAAGCUCAGCCACUCAGGAAUCAGCUCCUCACAGUUGUCCAUGAUGAAGACACGGCGCACAUAGAGCUUGAUGUUGUUGGCCUUCUUCCUGGUGUCAAAGAGGUCGAAGGGGGCCCUCUUGGGGACAAAGAGAACAGCCUUGAACUCAAGCUGCCCUUCCACAGAGAAGUGCUUGACAGCUAGAUGCUCCUCCCAGUCGUUUGUCAAGCUCUUGUAGAAUGCAGCGUACUCCUCCUUAGUGAUCUCUUCAGGCUUCCUCAUCCAGAUAGGCUUCUGCUUGUUGAUCAGGGACCACUCAUGAGAAACCUCCUUGAUCUUCUUCUUCUUCUUUUCUUUUUCCUCCUUUUCUUCAUCAAUUUCCUCAACCUUGCCCUCCUCACUAUCCUUUUUCUCUUCCUCAUCCUCAUCAUCGGAAAUUUCCUUCUCAGUUGUCUUCUCAGUCCACAGAGAGAUAGGGUAGCUGAUAAACUCAGAGUGUUUCUUCACCAGAUCCUUAAGGCGCCGCUCCUCGAGGUACUCCAACUGCACAGUAGAAGCAAAUUGUUAGGGACAAUUAACACGCCACAAGUUAUCAGUAACAAUAUGAGUAAAGAAGAAUCUGCUGCAGUCUGACCUAUGUGCAGUGAUACUUAAGUUGAGAAAAAACUUGCUCGAUGAAUUAUUUUGAUUAAUUUUACUGAUUCUACAUAGUAAUAGUGAAGCCAACUUGAAAGCAACAACAUUCUCCAAAAAAAAAACUUCACAGCAACAACAAAGCAACAGGAAAUAAUUCCGUUUCAAACUAGGGAUGCAAACGGGACCCUGCAAAGGCCCACUACUAGUUCAAUCGUCAAAUCUCCUAUUCGAAAUUUGAAUGGGAAAUGAAAUUCAAGAAUUGAACGAAACAGGAUCACAUUUGCAUCGCAAUUCAAUACAACAACAAACAAUAAUGCUGAUUAAUUUCAUUCCAAAGGCCAAACAAUAAAUUAACUUAGCAAGUAUAUUCCAUUUCAUUGCAAACAGAUGGCCAUAAAUUCAAAACAUAGACCAUAGCAGGUACCAACAGGGGACUGAACCAACAGGAAAUUCUUAAACCCAAAUUCAACAUUCAACUUCCAUUAAAGCUCACAUUCCAACAGUGAAUUGAGCAUAUGAAGAAGCAGGAAAUUCUUGUACCCAAAUUUGAACAUCCAACUUCAAUUAACCCUCACAUUUUCAGCAUUGAAUUGAGUAUCACUAACAAAGCCAGGGACCAUUUGGUCAUUACAACAACAGUAAUACAACAAGGGAGGGAAAUGAGCAGCACACGAUAAGGAUAUCUCAUGAGAAGUUCUAAUUAGCCACACAAACAAUCAGCACUAUCCAAAUCAAACUAAGCUGCAAACAGGACAUGGCUCAGGUAAAUUGUGCAAGCACUUUAGCUAUUGGCCAGGUAGCUAGUGCAAGCAAAUAUUUAUUUUCUCCUAACAUUACCCAGGUAGCAGGUACAGGUAGUAAAUUAUUAUUCGGUGAGCUAUAUUUUGUUUUACCUGAUCAUCCUUGAGGUAGAGGGUGAUCUUGGUACCCCUUCCAAGGGGCUCUCCAUCAUCACGGGUGACUGUGAAGGACCCACCCGCCUGAGACUCCCACACAUACUGCUCAUCGUCGUUGUGCUUGGUAGUCACAACGACCCUCUCCGCAACAAGGUAAGCAGAGUAGAAGCCAACACCAAACUGACCAAUCAUGGACACAUCAGCACCAGCAGCCAGUGCCUCCAUGAACUCCUUCGUCCCAGACCUUGCAAUUGUACCAAGGUUGUUCACCAAAUCUGACUUUGUCAUACCGAUACCACUGUCGAUGAGCGUGAGUGUGUUCGUGGCCUUGUCAGGGACAAUGUGGAUGAAUAGCUCUGGC
This 19713-nucleotide long non-coding RNA is filed under the name Brachypodium distachyon (stiff brome). Its description in RNAcentral is "long non-coding RNA (BDIS_LNC003756)". The record is from RNAcentral. Lineage: Eukaryota; Viridiplantae; Streptophyta; Magnoliopsida; Poales; Poaceae.